Molecule: transfer RNA, 76 nt
Filed under: Anaerolineales bacterium
Lineage: Bacteria; Bacillati; Chloroflexota; Anaerolineae; Anaerolineales
Description: tRNA-Lys
Rfam family: tRNA
About the family: Transfer RNA (tRNA) molecules are approximately 80 nucleotides in length. Their secondary structure includes four short double-helical elements and three loops (D, anti-codon, and T loops).
Source: RNAcentral
GCGCCGUUAGCUCAAUUGGCAGAGCAGGGGCCUUUUAAGCCCAAGGUUCGGAGUUCGAUCCUCCGACGGCGCACCU